ACGAAUACUAGCCCAACCCUCAUAAAAUAAAACUAAUAACUUUCAAUAAACUAAAACAUUCACCCUGAUUAAAGUAUAGGAGAUAGAAAUUUUAUUUGGCGCUAUAGAGAAAAGUACCGCAAGGGAAAGAUGAAAGAACUAUUAGAAGUAAAAAACAGCAAAGAUUACCCCUUGUACCUUUUGCAUAAUGACUUAACUAGAAAAAACUUGACAAAGAGAACUUUAGCCAAGAAACCCGAAACCAGACGAGCUACCUAAGAGCAGCCAUAAGGGCAAACUCGUCUAUGUGGCAAAAUAGUGAGAAGACUUUUAGGUAGUGGUGAAAAGCCUACCGAGUUUGGUGAUAGCUGGUUGUCCAGAAAAAGAAUUUUAGUUCAACUUUAAGCUAUGCCAGACAAACCUAUAAUUUAAAUGCAAGCUUAAAAUAUAAUCUAAAAGGGUACAGCCUUUUAGAAGCAGGAUACAACCUUAAUUAGAGAGUAAGUACAGAAACUUUUAUAGUCGGCUUAAAAGCAGCCACCAAUUAAGAAAGCGUUCAAGCUCAACAAUCCCCAUAUAUCAUAAUACAAAUAUUAUAUUACGAACUCCUAAUUUAACACUGGACCAAUCUAUUAUAAUAAUAGAAGAGAUACUGUUAAUAUGAGUAACAAGAAUUAUUUUCUCCCUGCACAAGUUUAUAUCAGAACGGAUAAGCCACUGAUAGUUAACAGUGCGAUAAAUAAAACCUCCAAUAAAACAUUUAUCAAAUUUACUGUUGACCCAACACAGGAGUGCAAUAAAGGAAAGAUUAAAAGAAGUAAAAGGAACUCGGCAAACAUAUACCCCGCCUGUUUACCAAAAACAUCACCUCCAGCAUUUCAACUAUUGGAGGCACUGCCUGCCCAGUGACAUCCGUUAAACGGCCGCGGUAUCCUGACCGUGCAAAGGUAGCAUAAUCAUUUGUUCUCUAAAUAAGGACUAGUAUGAAUGGCCACACGAGGGUAUUACUGUCUCUUACUUCCAAUCAGUGAAAUUGACCUUCCCGUGAAGAGGCGGGAAUGCAAAAAUAAGACGAGAAGACCCUAUGGAGCUUUAAUUAACCAGCCUACAAAUUAAUAUCUUAACUCCAAGGAGAGCAAACACUGUUUUAAUAGACUGGCAAUUUGGGUUGGGGUGACCUCGGAACACAAAACAACUUCCGAGUGAUAAAACUCUAGACUAACAAGUCAACAUAAACAAAAUAAUCACUUAUUGAUCCAAAGUUUUUGAUCAACGGAACAAGUUACCCUAGGGAUAACAGCGCAAUCCUAUUUGAGAGUCCAUAUCGAUAAUAGGGUUUACGACCUCGAUGUUGGAUCAGGACAUCCCAAUGGUGCAGCCGCUAUUAAUGGUUCGUUUGUUCAACGAUUAAAGUCCUACGUGAUCUGAGUUCAGACCGGAGUAAUCCAGGUCGGUUUCUAUCUAUUUCGUGUUCCUCCCAGUACGAAAGGACAAGAGAAACAAGGCCAACUCAACAAGAGCGCCUUAAAAGCCAAUAGAUGAAAGCAUAUUAAUCUAAUAGCCACAAAUAAACGACAAAACUACCCUAGAAUAGGUA
RNAcentral lists this ribosomal RNA (1576 nucleotides) under Nesonycteris fardoulisi. RNAcentral describes it as "16S ribosomal RNA". It matches the Rfam family "Bacterial large subunit ribosomal RNA". Lineage: Eukaryota; Metazoa; Chordata; Mammalia; Chiroptera; Pteropodidae. The record is from RNAcentral.